AUUGAACGCUGGCGGCAGGCCUAACACAUGCAAGUCGAACGGUAACAGGAAACCGCUUGCUGUCUCGCUGACGAGGGGCGGGCGGGUGAGUAAUGUGUGCGCAACUGCCUGAUGGAGGGGGACAACUACUGGAAACGGAAGCCAUAACCGCUAAACGUCGCAAGAGCAAAGAGGGGGACCUUCCGGCCGCUUGCCAUCCGAUGUGCCGAGGUGGGAUUAGGUAGUUGGUGGGGUAACGGCUCACCUAGCCGACGAUCUCUAGCUGGUAUGAGAGGAUGAACAGCCACACUGGAACUGAGACACGGCCCAGACUCCUACGGGAGGCAGCAGUGGGGAAUGUUGCACAAUGGGCGAAAGCCUGAUGCAGCCAUGCCGCGUGUAUGAAGAAGGCCUUCGGGUUGUAAAGUACUUUUAGCGGGGAGGAAGGGAGUAAAGUUAAUACCUGUGCUCAUUGACGGUACCCACAGAAGAAGCACCGGCUAACUCCGUG
This 490-nucleotide ribosomal RNA is filed under the name uncultured bacterium. Its description in RNAcentral is "partial 16S ribosomal RNA". It matches the Rfam family "Bacterial small subunit ribosomal RNA", at positions 30 to 507 of the family's 1533-position model. The record is from RNAcentral.